Molecule: long non-coding RNA, 4810 nt
Filed under: Anthonomus grandis grandis
Lineage: Eukaryota; Metazoa; Arthropoda; Insecta; Coleoptera; Curculionidae
Description: uncharacterized LOC126746339
Source: RNAcentral
UGUUGCCAAGUUUAAACGUUCUAAUUUUAAUAUAAUAAUUAUUUCAGUUAAGGUUUUACUGUAAGUAUUCGGUUGUAUACCAUUGUAUACCACUGUAAGUAUACCAUUGAAUAAUUCUUAAUUCAAAAGGUCAACGUACGGGAGAGAUUGGGUAAAAGCCAAAGAAUAUAAUAAUCCCCCCAUUUUAAUUAUACGUUAGUAUGUUUUUCUUUGGGAAAAAUAGAUGUGUUAAGCACGAACUUUAAAUAAAUUAAUAUACCUAUAUAACUGAAAUUAUAGUAUAUAAUUAUAUAUAUAUUAAUUUAUCAUUAUAGGUAUAUUUAUAAAUUCGUGGUUCUAAGUUACUCGUUGUAUAGACAUCCCACUGUUACUGUAGAAAAAACGUCAAUUUAUAGGUUAGGCAUUACAACGUUGCCACCUUUCAAAAUUUACAGAUAAUUUUCAUUAUAAUGAAGUUUAGAUUUGGUUCUGGGCUUUAUUUUAUUACUGAUUGUUCCGACCAAUAUCAUUAAAUAAUUCCUAAUUAAAAAGUUCAACAGAAAAAAGAGCGAAUUUAGGGAAAAAAAAUUGUACUAGGUACACGUGGCACUGCUGUAUUGACAUUUCAACUGUCAGUGUCACAAAUGUCAAAGCUUAAAGCCUUUGUUUACAUUUUAGAACAAAAAAAAUUUUUGUUCAUAUUAAUAAUGCAUAAAAACCGUAUUAAAUACCCUCAAAGACACCGAGGAACGUUAUUUCAUUUACACAAACUAAUAUGCUUAUAGCAGUAGAAAAAUAAUCAAUUAUAUGGACCAGUUAAGGACUCAAAGAAACAAGGAAAUUUAAACGGGAUAUGUGCGAAAAAUCACGUAGAAGCAGUGGGAAUGACUGACAGCCAUCCAAAGAAAACCGAGCAAAAUCACCCUAAAAAUUAAAUUAAAAAAAUUAUUUUGAACCACUGGAAGUCGUGAAAUGUAACCCUAAAAACCCCGGAAUAAAAUGAGACCUUAGUCCGAAUGCCUGGAAUAAUAAAAAGUUUUAUUCGAUAAAUCUGAAACAUCUAAAAACUUACCUGAAAUUAAAGGAACAGUUAUUCCAAAUGCCUGGAAUAGUAAAAAGUUUUUUUUGUAAAACCUGGAAAUUUGAAAUUUAGGCAUACAAGAUUUGGUCAAAUAUCUACCUAAAAUGAAUUCAAUUUCCUACAGAAUUACGUCAAAUGUCUAGAAUACAUACAAAAAUUCAGAUAAAUGUGCUGUGAUAAAUAUUUCCUUCUCCUUAGUUUAAGUAGCUUCAGAACUGACAAGGAUAGAGAAUUGUCAUAUUUUGGAGGCAUUUGAAGUGCAGCAGUUAUACGUGGUUUCCAAAUGAGUGAUCCUCUCCUUAUUGGGUUAAAACCGGUAAAUUUAUCAACAAACUGUUUUAAAACUGGACUACAGGUUGAUAAAAUAUUUAUAUUCUAAUAUUGAUUCCACUCACUCUAAAAUAAGGAUUUUGUACCUUCCAAGCAACUCAUCUCAAUAGGGAUUUUAAGGGCUUUGAAAUAGAAAGAACAUGUUUAUCCCGUAAAAAUUGUAACACGUUUAUUGCAGCAGUAAGUUUAAAACUUCCUUGCGACACAACCGUUUGGAUCUCAAUAAGACUUUUCAUUGUAAAUUAUGCAAAACUUAAAUGGAUAUGAAUCGACUUUUAUUGAGAGGGUCAUAAAACCAACAUUCCCGUGCAAUGAGGUCAAGAUUGGUCUCGUAAUUAAACUCAUUCCUUUUGUAUAUAGACAUUACUUUUAUUGUUUCUUAGGAAUGAUAUUAUGUACAAUAUAAAAUAUGCCAUUAUUUACAUAUAAAAUGGAUGUAUAUAAUAAUAAUAAUAUGAUUGCCUAUUUACAUUUUUAGUUACUUAGUAAAUAUAAAAAUUUGUUUUUUAUGGCAAUAGCCUAAAAUAAUACUAAAAAAUAUAAUUAAUUAUGAGCACAAUUUAUGCUAGACGAUAUAAUAAAAGAUUAAGUAGACGAUAGCCUGACAGACGAAUAAAGUAAAAUUUGGACAAAAUUACACACGAGCAGCUCAAAAUAUCACAUAAAUGUAUUAUUGUAGUUGAAUGGGUGAUUGGACGAAGGAUAACAUCCACAUUUACGCCUACCGUCCUUUUAAAAGGAUUUCAAAAAGAAACCUGUAUUUUUCUGAUUAGGAUUUUGUUAAUUUUUGAAUCGAUAGUGACGAAUAAAACACGCUGUGUUUCUAGUGAUUUUGCAAUGAGUGACUCAAGGUGAGAUAUGUUAAAACUCUUUUCGUUCUUGUUUUGAUUGUUUUUAACAAAUAACAUAACAUACUCACCUUUUUAUAUAUUUGUGGUUUAUGUUUCACACUUCUUGAUCAAUCCAGGAGCGUUCAAUUAAACGAGUCCUUUUAAAAGGACGGUAGGAUUAUAUACUACACUAACCAUGGCAGAAAUCUUAGAGGAAUUGGAGAAUGACUCUACGUCGGACAUUCCUACAGGCAUUACAAUUUUUCCACCCGAAAACUGCGAUACCGAUGAAGAUUCUGGGGGCUGAAGACGAUGUAGUACCAAAUAAUUUACCCGGAGUGCAACUAAGGGCCCCGGCGGAAAUUGCAUUUUAACGUAGAAGGUGAAGACGACUGGGACAGUGAUGACGAUCUAUCACUGUCCACUUUUGUUGAAAGGCGACCUAAACACAUAAAGACAUUUGACUAUACUCUCAAUAAAGAUUUACGGAAAGAGUCUACGUUUAUGCAAUGGCAAUCAGUUCAAACUGCACAAAGCAAUCGUUCCCCUGGAAAUAAUUUCAAGCUGUUCUUUGACGAGAACUUGCUAGGAGAAAUUAUCAAUUUUACCAAUAUUUAUGCACAGCAAACCUUACUGCAGACGAGAUGUACUGCUUCAUAGGGGUGUUACUUGUCAGUGGAUAUACAACUGUUCCAAGGCGACAUAUGUAUUGGCAAAGUUGCAACGAUACCCAGAAUAAACUUAUAUUAGCCGCUAUUUCCAGAGAUAGAUUUCAAUUCAUAACGAGUAAUCUUCAUUGCAGUGAUAAUAAAAAAGACAAGUACUCUAAACUGCGUCCCCUUUUCAGGAGCCUAAAUAAAAAAAUUUUGAUUAUGCUCCAAAAUCACAGCCUCGAUGAGGCCAUGAUACCGUAGGUAUCAUGGUCAUAUCAUUUGGCCAUAUACCGUAGGCUCAUUUGGGGUAGGUACCCUACGCCUUGGAUACAUUGUUUAUUUUGAUCCCAACCAAGGUGCGUCGACAACAAUUGCGGACAAAUAUAAACACCUGAGUUUGGGAGCGUCAGUUAUUCUCCAGUAUGCAGAUGUUUUACAGAAAAUGCCUUAUCAGCCCUUUCACAUAUUUUUUGUCAAUUUUUUCACAUCUUUGUCUAAAAUUGAGGAACAUCAAGGCAACUGAUACUAUACGUGAAAACCGGAUCCCACAAUCUCCAUUUAGCGAUGCGGCAGUGAACAACUAAUGUGACAACGCAGCAUCCUGCGUUUGGGUUUAAAAAUAGAUUCCGCCCUGUUUUUCUUCUCGGCCACCGAUUGUGGUCUUAUGUUUUUUAGGUUUAAUUGUCACCGUAGUCGUAAUAGUAGUUUUUUAAGAAGAAGUAGUAUACGUUUUGCUCUCCUUAUACGCACACGUCACGUUGUUUACAAUUAGACAAUUAGUUAGUAGCUCGCAGUGUUUGUUACCCCAUAGUUUAGUAAUUAUGUUUCUCACGCAUUAAUGAGACAAUAUUGUUUAGUUUACAGUUUUACACAGUAAAAAUUUCUCUCGCCAUAAAAUAAAUUUCGCAGCUAUAUGCUUUUGUGUAGAUAUAGUUGUUGUCUUAGUGGACAGUGUUUUUUGACGUCACUCAUUUACAUUCCCAGUGGUUCUUCUUCUUUGACUCUGACUCUUGAAAACUUAGAUUGGUUAGCAUGUACUGAUUGGGAUAACCUAUCUAACUUACAGUGAAAUACAGUGUUGAAUUGGGGUCAAUAAAGUUAUUGAUCCAUUGUAAGUGCAUGCAGAACUUUACAAGGGUUCUAACGACGGUCAAAUUUUAAAUAAAUUGUUUUGUUCUGAAUCAUUUUAUUUUAUUAAUUACCAAAGGCUAAUUACAAAUGAGCAAGAUUGAGCUAAGACCCAAACCACGCCAACUUUAGCCACCAAUGCAUGUUCAGUUUUGCCAGUAAAUAAGGUCAAACGAUAUUCACAGUCUGAAAAAAAACAUGUUUAUAUAGAUCAGCCUCAAUUGAUCACGAAAAUAUGGGAGGUGUAGACCGUAGUGACCAAAACAUAAGCCAAUAUCGAGUUUCAGUACGAGGUAAAAAGUGGUAUUUUCCCACUGUGUAGACAUGGCCUCACAAAACUCGUGGCAACUCCACAGGAAUAAUGGUGGUACUCUUGACCAACUUCAGUUUAGAAGGGACCUAGGGACACAGCUGCUCGAAACGUACAGGAAAACAACUAAGAGAGGACCUUCGAAAUUGCCAAAAACUGCAUUCCAAUUCUCACGUUACGAUAGACUAGAUCAUUUAGUUACAUAUCACGAGUAGAGUCAGCGGAAAUGUGCUGUGUGCCACAAAAAAGUAAAUUUUGUGUGCCAAAAAUGUGCAGUUGGUCUUCACCCAAAAAACUGUUUUGUGGACUAUCAUACAAAUUGGUUUUUAAGUAUUUUGCUAAGCAUUUUGUACGAUAUAUAUACAUAUUUUUAAGUCUUUACUUAUUUUUCUAAUAGUAGCCCUUUAUCAUACCGUCCUUUUAAAAGGACCGCCGUUUUUUCUAAAACUGGAAAAACAUGAUUUUUUCUCGACUUAUGGGACCUUCUAUUGACCGUUUU